Molecule: ribosomal RNA, 332 nt
Filed under: uncultured Acinetobacter sp.
Lineage: Bacteria; Pseudomonadati; Pseudomonadota; Gammaproteobacteria; Moraxellales; Moraxellaceae
Description: bacterial SSU rRNA
Rfam family: Bacterial small subunit ribosomal RNA
Source: RNAcentral
GGCUGUCGUCAGCUCGUGUCGUGAGAUGUUGGGUUAAGUCCCGCAACGAGCGCAACCCUUUCCUAUUUGCCAGCGGUUAAGCCGGGAACUUUAAGGAUACUGCCAGUGACAAACUGGAGGAAGGCGGGACGACGUCAAGUCAUCAUGGCCCUUACGACCAGGGCUACACACGUGCUACAAUGGUCGGUACAAAGGGUUGCUACCUAGCGAUAGGAUGCUAAUCUCAAAAAGCCGAUCGUAGUCCGGAUUGGAGUCUGCAACUCGACUCCAUGAAGUCGGAAUCGCUAGUAAUCGCGGAUCAGAAUGCCGCGGUGAAUACGUUCCCGGGCCUU